AUUGAACGCUGGCGGCAGGCCUAACACAUGCAAGUCGAGCGGAUGAAGGGUGCUUGCUCCUGGAUUCAGCGGCGGACGGGUGAGUAAUGCCUAUGAAUCUGCCUGGUAGUGGGGGAUAACGUCCGGAAACGGGCGCUAAUACCGCAUACGUCCUGAGGGAGAAAGUGGGGGAUCUUCGGACAUCACGCUAUCAGAUGAGCCUAGGUCGGAUUAGCUAGUUGGUGGGUUAAAGGCCUACCAAGGCGACGAUCCGUAACUGGUCUGAGAGGAUGAUCAGUCACACUGGAACUGAGACACGGUCCAGACUACUAAGGGAGGCAGCAGUGGGGAAUGUUGGACAAUGGGCGAGAGUCUGAUACAGCCAUGGCGCGUGUGUGAAGAAGGUGUUCGGAUUGGAAAGCACUUUAAGUUGGGAGGAAGGGCAGUAAGUUAAUACCUUGCUGUUUUGACGUUAACAACAGAAUAAGCACCGGCUAACUUCGUG
Molecule: ribosomal RNA, 484 nt
Filed under: uncultured bacterium
Lineage: Bacteria
Description: partial 16S ribosomal RNA
Rfam family: Bacterial small subunit ribosomal RNA
Source: RNAcentral